RNAcentral lists this ribosomal RNA (778 nucleotides) under Microbacterium aurantiacum. RNAcentral describes it as "partial 16S ribosomal RNA". It matches the Rfam family "Bacterial small subunit ribosomal RNA", at positions 26 to 817 of the family's 1533-position model. Lineage: Bacteria; Bacillati; Actinomycetota; Actinomycetes; Micrococcales; Microbacteriaceae. The record is from RNAcentral.
AGGAUGAACGCUGGCGGCGUGCUUAACACAUGCAAGUCGAACGGUGAAGCCAAGCUUGCUUGGUGGAUCAGUGGCGAACGGGUGAGUAACACGUGAGCAACCUGCCCUGGACUCUGGGAUAAGCGCUGGAAACGGCGUCUAAUACUGGAUAUGAGCCUUUAUCGCAUGGUGGGGGUUGGAAAGAUUUUUUGGUCUGGGAUGGGCUCGCGGCCUAUCAGCUUGUUGGUGAGGUAAUGGCUCACCAAGGCGUCGACGGGUAGCCGGCCUGAGAGGGUGACCGGCCACACUGGGACUGAGACACGGCCCAGACUCCUACGGGAGGCAGCAGUGGGGAAUAUUGCACAAUGGGCGGAAGCCUGAUGCAGCAACGCCGCGUGAGGGAUGACGGCCUUCGGGUUGUAAACCUCUUUUAGCAAGGAAGAAGCGGAAGUGACGGUACUUGCAGAAAAAGCGCCGGCUAACUACGUGCCAGCAGCCGCGGUAAUACGUAGGGCGCAAGCGUUAUCCGGAAUUAUUGGGCGUAAAGAGCUCGUAGGCGGUUUGUCGCGUCUGCUGUGAAAUCCCGAGGCUCAACCUCGGGCCUGCAGUGGGUACGGGCAGACUAGAGUGCGGUAGGGGAGAUUGGAAUUCCUGGUGUAGCGGUGGAAUGCGCAGAUAUCAGGAGGAACACCGAUGGCGAAGGCAGAUCUCUGGGCCGUAACUGACGCUGAGGAGCGAAAGGGUGGGGAGCAAACAGGCUUAGAUACCCUGGUAGUCCACCCCGUAAACGUUGGGAACU